Molecule: ribosomal RNA, 1179 nt
Filed under: Streptomyces sp. NRRL F-2295
Lineage: Bacteria; Bacillati; Actinomycetota; Actinomycetes; Kitasatosporales; Streptomycetaceae
Description: bacterial LSU rRNA
Rfam family: Bacterial large subunit ribosomal RNA
Source: RNAcentral
UGAGCUGGGGGUGGCCGCAGAGACCAGCGAGAAGCGACUGUUUACUAAAAACACAGGUCCGUGCGAAGCCGUAAGGCGAUGUAUACGGACUGACGCCUGCCCGGUGCUGGAACGUUAAGGGGACCGGUUAGCUGCCUUUCGGGGUGGCGAAGCUGAGAACUUAAGCGCCAGUAAACGGCGGUGGUAACUAUAACCAUCCUAAGGUAGCGAAAUUCCUUGUCGGGUAAGUUCCGACCUGCACGAAUGGCGUAACGACUUCUCGACUGUCUCAACCAUAGGCCCGGUGAAAUUGCACUACGAGUAAAGAUGCUCGUUUCGCGCAGCAGGACGGAAAGACCCCGGGACCUUUACUAUAGUUUGAUAUUGGUGUUCGGUUCGGCUUGUGUAGGAUAGGUGGGAGACUGUGAAGCGGCCACGCCAGUGGUUGUGGAGUCGUCGUUGAAAUACCACUCUGGUCGUGCUGGAUGUCUAACCUGGGUCCGUGAUCCGGAUCAGGGACAGUGUCUGAUGGGUAGUUUAACUGGGGCGGUUGCCUCCUAAAGAGUAACGGAGGCGCCCAAAGGUUCCCUCAGCCUGGUUGGCAAUCAGGUGUUGAGUGUAAGUGCACAAGGGAGCUUGACUGUGAGACCGACGGGUCGAGCAGGGACGAAAGUCGGGACUAGUGAUCCGGCAGUGGCUUGUGGAAGCGCUGUCGCUCAACGGAUAAAAGGUACCCCGGGGAUAACAGGCUGAUCUUCCCCAAGAGUCCAUAUCGACGGGAUGGUUUGGCACCUCGAUGUCGGCUCGUCGCAUCCUGGGGCUGGAGUCGGUCCCAAGGGUUGGGCUGUUCGCCCAUUAAAGCGGUACGCGAGCUGGGUUUAGAACGUCGUGAGACAGUUCGGUCCCUAUCCGCUGCGCGCGUAGGAAUAUUGAGAAGGGCUGUCCCUAGUACGAGAGGACCGGGACGGACGAACCUCUGGUGUGCCAGUUGUUCUGCCAAGGGCAUGGCUGGUUGGCUACGUUCGGAAAGGAUAACCGCUGAAAGCAUCUAAGCGGGAAGCCUGCUUCGAGAUGAGUAUUCCCACCCCCUUUGAGGGGUUAAGGCUCCCAGUAGACGACUGGGUUGAUAGGCCAGAUGUGGAAGCCCGGUAACGGGUGGAGCUGACUGGUACUAAUAGGCCGAGGGCUUGUCCUCAGUUG